RNAcentral lists this ribosomal RNA (292 nucleotides) under uncultured bacterium. RNAcentral describes it as "partial 16S ribosomal RNA". It matches the Rfam family "Bacterial small subunit ribosomal RNA", at positions 505 to 796 of the family's 1533-position model. The record is from RNAcentral.
GUGUCAGCAGCCGCGGUAAUACGGAGGGUGCGAGCGUUGUUCGGAAUCACUGGGCGUAAAGCGCGUGUAGGCGGCCUGCUAAGUCUGAUGUGAAAGCCCGAGGCUCACCCUCGGAAGUGCAUUGGAAACUGGCAGACUGGAGUCCCGGAGAGGAGGGUGGAAUUCCUGGUGUAGCGGUGAAAUGCGUAGAUAUCAGGAGGAACACCGGUGGCGAAGGCGGCCCUCUGGACGGUGACUGACGCUGAGACGCGAAAGCGUGGGGAGCAAACAGGAUUAGAUACCCGGGUAGUCC